Molecule: ribosomal RNA, 458 nt
Filed under: uncultured bacterium
Lineage: Bacteria
Description: partial 16S ribosomal RNA
Rfam family: Bacterial small subunit ribosomal RNA
Source: RNAcentral
CCUACGGGAGGCAGCAGUGAGGAAUAUUGGUCAAUGGGCGAGAGCCUGAACCAGCCAAGUCGCGUGAGGGCGUACUGCCCUAUGGGUUGUAAACCUCUUUUGUCGGGGAGCAAAAGCCGGACGUGUCCGGCUGUGAGAGUACCCGAAGAAAAAGCAUCGGCUAACUACGUGCCAGCAGCCGCGGUAAUACGUAGGUGGAGAGCGUUAUCCGGAAGGAUUGGGCGUAAAGGGUGCGUAGGCGGCCUGCUAAGUCUGGAGUGAAAGGUACCGGCUCAACCGGUAUAGGCUCUGGAAACUGGCGUGCUAGAGAGCAGGAGAGGGCGGUGGAACUCCAUGUGUAGCGGUAAAAGGCGUAGAUAUAUGGAAGAACACCAGUGGCGAAGGCGGCCGCCUGGCCUGUUACUGACGCUGAGGCACGAAAGCGUGGGGAGCAAAUAGGAUUAGAUACCCUUGUAGUC